AAAUUGAAGAGUUUGAUCAUGGCUCAGAUUGAACGCUGGCGGCAGGCCUAACACAUGCAAGUCGAGCGGAAACGAGUUAUCUGAACCUUCGGGGAACGAUAACGGCGUCGAGCGGCGGACGGGUGAGUAAUGCCUAGGAAAUUGCCCUGAUGUGGGGGAUAACCAUUGGAAACGAUGGCUAAUACCGCAUGAUGCCUACGGGCCAAAGG
RNAcentral lists this ribosomal RNA (209 nucleotides) under Vibrio parahaemolyticus. Its description in RNAcentral is "partial 16S ribosomal RNA". It matches the Rfam family "Bacterial small subunit ribosomal RNA", at positions 1 to 207 of the family's 1533-position model. The record is from RNAcentral. Lineage: Bacteria; Pseudomonadati; Pseudomonadota; Gammaproteobacteria; Vibrionales; Vibrionaceae.